This 90-nucleotide transfer RNA is filed under the name Candidatus Falkowbacteria bacterium CG10_big_fil_rev_8_21_14_0_10_44_15. Its description in RNAcentral is "tRNA-Ser". It matches the Rfam family "tRNA". From Rfam's summary of the family: Transfer RNA (tRNA) molecules are approximately 80 nucleotides in length. Their secondary structure includes four short double-helical elements and three loops (D, anti-codon, and T loops). The record is from RNAcentral. Lineage: Bacteria; Candidatus Falkowiibacteriota.
GGUGGGUUGGCAGAGUGGUUUAAUGCACUGGUCUUGAAAACCAGAGUACCUGAAAAGGUACCGCAGGUUCAAAUCCUGCACCCACCGCCU